This 253-nucleotide ribosomal RNA is filed under the name uncultured bacterium. RNAcentral's name for it is "partial 16S ribosomal RNA". It matches the Rfam family "Bacterial small subunit ribosomal RNA", at positions 524 to 776 of the family's 1533-position model. The record is from RNAcentral.
UUCGUAGGGUGCGAGCGUUGUCCGGAAUUAUUGGGCGUAAAGGGCUCGUAGGCGGUUUGUCACGUCAGGAGUGAAAACUCGGGGCUCAACCCCGAGCCUGCUUCUGAUACGGGCAGACUGGAGGUAUGCAGGGGAGAACGGAAUUCCUGGUGUAGCGGUGAAAUGCGCAGAUAUCAGGAGGAACACCGGUGGCGAAGGCGGUUCUCUGGGCCUUACCUGACGCUGAGGAGCGAAAGCGUGGGGAGCGAACAGG